Molecule: non-coding RNA, 463 nt
Organism: Coturnix japonica (Japanese quail)
Lineage: Eukaryota; Metazoa; Chordata; Aves; Galliformes; Phasianidae
Source: RefSeq, a predicted model, not a curated record
CAGCUGUGUGCGCACUGGAGUGGGGAGAAGGAGCCUCCCUCUGCCUACGGACCAAGGCUGCCCUGUAAGUCGGGGAUUGGCUUUGCCUUGGAGUCCCAGGCCCUUUGCAAUUGAGGCAGCGUCAGGGGACCCCUGUAAGCAGGGAAGUUGACCCUUUGGCGGCUGCUUUCUGUGUGCCCAGCUCCUUUUGCCCAGUCUGCCCGCCUCUGUGACCCUCCGCAGCACCGGCUGGAGCUCCGCAGUGCAUCAGCAUGGAGCCACUGCAGAAGAAAGAAGCAGCAAGCGUGUGGAACCUGGAGGCAACAGCGAGCAAGGAAAGGAUGCUGUAUUUGUUGGUUAUAUUGGCGUUUCUUUGGUCUCUUGUCAUUACAUUUUUAUUGUUUAUUUAUUGGCUUAUUUGUUCCUCAUUGCCCUGCAUGAUCCCUCUUAAUAAAGUUUUUGUUGCUGUGUCUGUGCUAUGAUA